Molecule: ribosomal RNA, 497 nt
Filed under: uncultured bacterium
Lineage: Bacteria
Description: partial 16S ribosomal RNA
Rfam family: Bacterial small subunit ribosomal RNA
Source: RNAcentral
GAUGAACGCUGGCGGCGUGCCUAAUACAUGCAAGUCGAGCGAACAGACGAAAAGCUUGCUUCCCGGAUGUUAGCAGCGGACGGGUGAGUGACACGUGGAUAACCUACCGAUAAGACUGGGAUAACUUCGGGAAACCGUAGCUGAUACCAGAUAAUAUAUUGAACCGCAUUGUUCAAUAGUGAAAGACGGUAUUGCUGGCACUAAUGGAUGGAUCCGCGCUGCAGUAGCUAGUUGGAAAGGUAACGGAUUAACAAGGCAAAGAUGCAGAUCAGCCCUCAGAGGGUGGUCGGCCAAACUGGAUCGGAGACGUGGUCCACAACCCUACGGGAGGGACCCGUAGCAAACCUUCCGCAAUGGGCGCAGGCCUGACGGAGCAACGCCGCGUGAAUCAUGAAGGUCUUCGGACCGUAAAAUUUUGUUAGCAGGGAAGUACAUAUAUGCAAGUAUCUAUGCAGAACUUGACGGUACCUAACCAAAAAGCCCCGGCUAACUACGUG